This is a non-coding RNA of Podarcis lilfordi (Lilford's wall lizard), 70 nucleotides long. The record is from the annotation of a GenBank genome assembly. Lineage: Eukaryota; Metazoa; Chordata; Lepidosauria; Squamata; Lacertidae.
CCUUUGGCUCAGUCGGUGCAGCAUGAGACUCUUAAUCUCAGAGUCAUGGGUUCGAGCCCCACGUUGGGGA